This is a non-coding RNA of Anas platyrhynchos (mallard), 3482 nucleotides long. The record is from RefSeq and is a predicted model, not a curated record. NCBI's taxonomy places the organism in Eukaryota, Metazoa, Chordata, Aves, Anseriformes, Anatidae.
UUCCAGUUGAGAAAUAGGUCUGCUGGUGGGAAAAAAAAAAAAUAAUGCUGCAUGUAGAAAUCUUUAAGCUUUCAUCCAUUUCUAGGAAACUGGAAUGGGAGGAGCAACCCUCCUACUCCUGAAGACAUCUGCACUGUGGGGAUAUAGGGAAACUACUGCAGUACAAGCACAGUUUUGGCAAAUUAAAGCUUGUCAGAAUCACAGCAAACUUCCCGUUGAUCUAGGUCCACUUACACUUUCACUACAGUUCUGGGCUUUUUUUCUGAUGUUCUUCUUUGGACGUAUGCUUUAAAAAUAGCUCAAGAACUUGAGGUGCUUCAUUCUCUGCACUGGCUCAGAGUAGCCAAGAUACUUCUUUCUAUGGCCUUCUCCCCCCUCCCGCCUUGUUUUCGACUUAGCUUGGCAAAGCUGGACAAACCCCGGGACAUAAAAAUUCCCUUAACUGAAGCCUGCCUAACAGAUAAACACACUCCAGCUCUGUUAAGAACCAACAGGCCAACUUCUGCUCCUGGUUGUACAGCUGCAAACCCAGAAUUGCUCUGAUUCAUCAGCUCGCUUUGGUGGCGAUGGAGGAUAAUGCAGAGUGCCCAGCCAGGCUGGCACAAACAUCACCUACCUCCUGCGGUUCUCUGUCAGGUAACUGCAAGUUUUUGUGCAAUGACGGGGACAGCAGAGAUUAAAUCUUUGAACAACUCCACACUUGUGUUUGGCAAAUUAAAACAUCAGGUUAGAAUUCAGAGAACCGUGUGUUAUAAUUUUCCCUUUUUAGUAGCACACGAGCAAUGAGAACAUUUAAACACGUUCUGGAAAAACCUGCACUCCGUUGCCCGAGGUACAGUAUUUUCACAGAACAUUGCUAAUCCAACCAACUUCACAAAAACAAGUAAAAUGAGCUUCCUUUGUUACUUGUUACAUUUCUUUUAUUAGACUUCAGCAGCAGAUCUGGGUUCAUUUUUCCUAUCAUUGUUUUAUGCUCACUUUUGUAUUCUGUUGGAUUAUAACAGAUUAAUUUUAGUUUUGUUUCUAGCCACUUUGCAUGCCCUAAUGAAGUAACAAGGCUCCAUUUUAUUUAAAAAUAGAGAAGCCUCAAAAUCUUCCAUAAAUUUUCCAUUCAUGCUACAGUUUCUUAAAAAAAAUAAAUCCUAACAACAUUAAUAUUUGGACUUAGACUAGCUGGCAAAGCAACCUUCUCAGCAAGUGACAACACUUUUUUAGAUAGUCUUCAGCCCAUUUUUUUAACACUCUAUAGCCCUUCAUUGCUUCAAGCCCCCGGUCAUUUAUUCUAGCUAACUAGCUGAAUUCUUGCUCUAACCCCACCAUUGAUUACUCUGACAGAAAAGCCUCCUGCUAUUGCCACUGCUAGACUGGGCUAAACUGGGCCCAGUGGGGGAAGCAGUAGGGUGAAAUGGCUGUAAUUGUUGGCCCAAGGAGAACAGGCAUUGGUUCCCCUCCACCUAAACUCGUGCAAUCCAUCAGUCCUACCUCCUCGCUGCAGGCUAGAGAAAGGACUGCUGUUAUCUGCUGCUUCAUUCAAAUUCUUCCAACUGCAAGCAUGUGGUUGUGCAAGGCACAACAGGGCCACGCCACCGCCCGCUUCUACCCCUGUACAGACAACAAAAACAAUUAGAAACAAAUGCAUUCUUGUGCUGGAUCACUUUAAAACCUACAUGCACUGAUCAUAAGUGUUCCCCCAUGGGCUCAGCUUCAUUUUCUGCAGCACAUACAGCAGGAUACUUUUUCCCAUGGCAAUUGACAUUUCGCACUAGCCUGGUUCCAACGAAAAUCAAUCUGAUUCCUUCCUCAUAACAACAGAGAGUCAUCUUGGAUGACAGAUUUUAGCCACUAAUUUAAUUGAUCAUACUGAUACGGAUUUGGGGAAAUAUUAUUCCAGCAUAGCAACACAAAUCCAAUCAGAAGAGCAGACCCGGAGAAAGGUGAGCGGCUCUCCUAAAAACAUGGUUUUAAAGCAUUCAAGCGCCGUGAGAGUUAUUUUGAUACAGGGCAAGGAAAGAAGAUUGUAAGAAUGAUUCAGUAAGCCUGGAAAACGCAGCAGCCAGGUUCUGCUGCCAUUCCUGAAACAGAUUAGCUCAUUUUCCUGUUAACAGCAGCACUGAAAACUUCUUGCUCUAGGGCAGCAGUGGCAGUAAUUCCCCAGCACUCUGCUCAUGGAUCACUGUCAGCUUUUUGAAUGCACUGUGGGCUACCCCAGUGCCUUAAAACAUUAACCUUUUAAGGCAGCCUGGCUUUGCAGGACGCGGGGAGCACAGCUGAGAACCGCUGCUCUUGAUAACGCGACUUCGACAGAUCCCGCAUGGGCUAAUGACAGGGCUGCCUAAAUCCAAGGUCAAGUUGUUCUGCUGACUACAGCCUUGGAUUUGAUUUCCAGAGCCGGGGCUCGUGGAAGUGUGACAAAUCUGGUACCUCCUCACUCAGAGGUCACUUACGAACCAAACCACUAACUUGUGCUGCAAUGCCUCGGAUCCGCCUCGUCAGCUCCAGCUGGAGUGCCCGUCCUUAGCAGCACCAGCCUUGAGGAAAGCGUCCAGCCUUACCCCGAGCGCUCUCCCGGCGUCGGAUUGCGCAGCGACGAGGAAUUCCUGGCACCGCGGCGCGGUAAAACAGUUCUCCCGUGUCCAGGAUAUAACACCAGAACAGACGAUAAUAAAUAAGCCACUUCAACAGGGCUGUGAAAAAUGAGCCGUGACAGAUCUGUGGCGAAGCAAAUGUCAUCUCGGAGCAGGCUUGUCUGGAUGCCUACAGGAGAGCUCACCAACUGUCUGGCUCCAACUCACAGCCCACUGCUGGCACGGCGCUGUGAGCAUGCUGGUGACUGACUAACCCCUCGCAGCGCUUCUCUACCUACCGAGUGCUCCUUCAAGCUAUUAGCGUCACAGCGUAUCAAACGGGCUGUCACAAACCUGUUUAUCACCCCUUUCCCAAACUCAGGCAGGUAUCCGGCAGCAAAUGCUCGGUAUGGACACGCACACACUCAAACGCUGCCCCUCGGAGUGGCCGGAGCGCCGCAUGUCGGUCAGGGCAGAUAUACAGCCCCUGUGUUGUUGGAAAUCAGCACAGCCACGUGCAGCUCCUUACAUUAAAAGCCUCUCUUCGUGUGGCACUCAAAGAGCUAUUCACAAAAGCUACCUUUCUCUACAGCAGCUCCAGUGGAGAACACGGUGAUCCAGAGGAGAAGCCUGGCUGAACUCUUCAGGUGGCCCUCUGGAGCUCCCUCUCCCUUUAUUCCCCUCUCUCUGGGGAGCCUUUGCAAAUUCCCCCUCCUUUUAUGCUGCCAACACCAAAAGCUUCACUAUGAAUCUCACAGGAUUCGGUGUUUGUCUUGAAGACCCUUUUUCUCAAGUCAUUUAGUGCUCCAGUCAUCUCAGCUCUUACUGAAGAAAACAUGCAUUAGAGCUUUGCUGUGGUGGAGAAAACUAGAAAGUGGAAAGCCUAAAGACUUAAAAAAAGAAAAAGAAAAAAAAAAA